GUGCCAGCAGCCGCGGUAAUACGUAGGGUACAAGCGUUGUCCGGAAUUAUUGGGCGUAAAGAGCUCGUAGGUGGUUUGUCGCGUCUGCUGUGGAAACGCAAGGCUCAACCUUGCGCGUGCAGUGGGUACGGGCGGACUAGAGUGCAGUAGGGGAGUCUGGAAUUCCUGGUGUAGCGGUGAAAUGCGCAGAUAUCAGGAGGAACACCGGUGGCGAAGGCGGGACUCUGGGCUGUUACUGACGCUGAGGAGCGAAAGCAUGGGGAGCGAACAGGAUUAGAUACCCUGGUAGUCC
This 292-nucleotide ribosomal RNA is filed under the name uncultured microorganism. RNAcentral's name for it is "partial 16S ribosomal RNA". It matches the Rfam family "Bacterial small subunit ribosomal RNA", at positions 505 to 796 of the family's 1533-position model. The record is from RNAcentral.